This 253-nucleotide ribosomal RNA is filed under the name uncultured bacterium. RNAcentral's name for it is "partial 16S ribosomal RNA". The stretch from base 27 to 253 matches the Rfam family "Bacterial small subunit ribosomal RNA", at positions 550 to 776 of the family's 1533-position model. The record is from RNAcentral.
UACCAGCACCCCGAGUGGUCGGGACGAUUACUGGGCGUAAAGCGUGCGCAGGCGGUUGUGUAAGCCAGAUGUGAAAUCCCCGGGCUUAACCUGGGAAUGGCAUUUGGGACUGCACGGCUAGAGUACGGCAGAGGAGACUAGAAUUCCUGGUGUAGCAGUGAAAUGCGUAGAUAUCAGGAGGAAUACCGAUGGCGAAGGCAGGUCUCUGGGUCGAUACUGACGCUCAUGCACGAAAGCGUGGGGAGCAAACAGG